Lycium barbarum (goji berry) is the source of this 365-nucleotide long non-coding RNA. RefSeq lists it as uncharacterized. The transcript is spliced from 3 exons. The record is from RefSeq and is a predicted model, not a curated record. Lineage: Eukaryota; Viridiplantae; Streptophyta; Magnoliopsida; Solanales; Solanaceae.
CUCCAUUUUUGCCACUGUUUUCGGCCAAGAACAAGAGAAAACCAAGAUCAUUUCAAGCCUCCCUAAAAAUAUUUCCUUGAUACAAAACCACUAUAUUGAAGUCCCUAAGUAGCGUGGAAGUAUUGUUUGGGUCAUCCAACCAUUAGUUGUGCCUAUUUGCAAACCCUAGCCUAUUGGUGGAGGUGAAGAACAAAGACCUUGGGGAGCCCGAGGCGUAGAUUUGGAUUAGCUUUAGAUUGGCUUGCUUGGAGUGCGUACGAGGUACAGACGCACAGUUUGGUGAUCCACCGGUUUAGGACACCCCUUUUUGCUGUUGGAGUGCUCUUCUCCUUUCAGAGCAUAUCUUUUGGUAUAUAUUUUUGUUC